This 561-nucleotide ribosomal RNA is filed under the name uncultured bacterium. RNAcentral's name for it is "bacterial SSU rRNA". It matches the Rfam family "Bacterial small subunit ribosomal RNA", at positions 338 to 916 of the family's 1533-position model. The record is from RNAcentral.
CCUACGGGAGGCAGCAGUGGGGAAUAUUGGACAAUGGGCGAAAGCCUGAUCCAGCAAUGCCGCGUGAGUGAAGAAGGCCUUAGGGUUGUAAAGCUCUUUCGUCCACGACGAUAAUGACGGUAGUGGAAGAAGAAGCCCCGGCUAACUCCGUGCCAGCAGCCGCGGUAAUACGGAGGGGGCUAGCGUUGUUCGGAAUUACUGGGCGUAAAGCGCGCGUAGGCGGCCAUGCAAGUCAGAGGUGAAAGCCCGGAGCUUAACUUCGGAACUGCCUUUGAGACUGCAUGGCUUGAACCCGGGAGAGGUAAGUGGAAUUCCGAGUGUAGAGGUGAAAUUCGUAGAUAUUCGGAGGAACACCAGUGGCGAAGGCGGCUUACUGGACCGGUGUUGACGCUGAGGCGCGAAAGCGUGGGGAGCAAACAGGAUUAGAUACCCUGGUAGUCCACGCUGUAAACGAUGAGGGCUAGCUGUCGGGGGCCAUUGGCUUUCGGUGGCGUAGCAAACGCGUUAAGCCCUCCGCCUGGGGAGUACGGUCCCAAGAUUAAAACUCAAAUGAAUUGACGG